GACGAACGCUGGCGGCGUGCUUAACACAUGCAAGUCGAGCGGUAAGGCCCUUUCGGGGGUACACGAGCGGCGAACGGGUGAGUAACACGUGGGUGACCUGCCCUUAGCUCUGGGAUAAGCCUGGGAAACUGGGUCUAAUACCGGAUAUGACUCCAUGACGCAUGUUGUGGGGUGAAAGCCUUGUGCGGCUAGGGAUGGGCCCGCGGCCUAUCAGCUUGUUGGUGGGGUGAUGGCCUACCAAGGCGACGACGGGUAGCCGGCCUGAGAGGGCGACCGGCCACACUGGGACUGAGACACGGCCCAGACUCCACGGGAGGCAGCAGUGGGAAUCUUGCGCAAUGGCGAAAGCCUGACGCAGCGACGCCGCGUGGGGAUGACAGCC
This 382-nucleotide ribosomal RNA is filed under the name uncultured bacterium. RNAcentral's name for it is "bacterial SSU rRNA". It matches the Rfam family "Bacterial small subunit ribosomal RNA", at positions 28 to 416 of the family's 1533-position model. The record is from RNAcentral.